AUGAUCAAAAAGGACUUUCAUACGGUUGUAAUGAGGGCUCUUUGGUGAGGUGGGGUGUUUUUAGGCAAAUGACUCAUAUCCCACAAUCUAACAAUCACAAUGAACAAGUCAAAUUCACCAUUUCUCUUAUCAAUCAAAAACCAAGAUCCCCACAUUUCUUCUUUUCACCCUUAGUGAUACUUAUCAUGAUUAUGAUUCAAAAGGUAAAUCACUCCCCUUUAUGCUCUUUAUUCAAUUUUUAUUUUCCUUCUUUUUUUUUCUUUUCUUUUGGAGCUCAUAGGGGACUAGUGAUUUUCACUCAAUCAAAGUUAGACAACUAAUUUCAAUCAUUUUCCAUACAUUUUCAUCAAAGUAACCACUAACAAUCUAAGUUCUACCCAUCCUUGGUUAAUUCAAAGAAAGGCUAUAAGGCACAAAAAUGGGUAAACUAGGAUCAUAUGAGAAUUUGGACAAGAUUUGGGUUACGUGGUUAGCAAAGAUGGCCUUCAAUCAUCUCAACAUCCAUAACACAUCUACUUUCAUUUUUUUAGAGAGGACUUAUGGCAAGUUCUAGAGAUUAACGAGCAUGUUCAAUUGAUUUACACUCAAGAAUGAAAUGAGAUUGUGAUAAUAUGACAAUCAAUGGCUCAAAUCUUACAAGCUCAUUAUCAAGUUCUUGGAGGCAAAACAUUUAACUCACUUGUCACAAGUUCAAACUUUUCAUGCAUAAUCCACAAGUGAUACACACAAUUU
This 732-nucleotide long non-coding RNA is filed under the name Salvia miltiorrhiza (redroot sage). RNAcentral describes it as "long non-coding RNA (SMIL_LNC012683)". Lineage: Eukaryota; Viridiplantae; Streptophyta; Magnoliopsida; Lamiales; Lamiaceae. The record is from RNAcentral.